RNAcentral lists this transfer RNA (74 nucleotides) under Candidatus Caccovicinus merdipullorum. Its description in RNAcentral is "tRNA-Ile". It matches the Rfam family "tRNA". From Rfam's summary of the family: Transfer RNA (tRNA) molecules are approximately 80 nucleotides in length. Their secondary structure includes four short double-helical elements and three loops (D, anti-codon, and T loops). Lineage: Bacteria; Bacillati; Bacillota; Clostridia; Eubacteriales. The record is from RNAcentral. RNAcentral also lists the same sequence under 1 other name.
CGCAGGGUGGAGCAGUUUGGUAGCUCGCCGGGUUUAUGCCCCGGAGGUCGCAGGCUCGAAUCCUGCCCCUGCAA